GACCCCUUCAUGGAAUUGAUAGUUGAAAUUUUCAAUGAUACUGUAAGGCCUACACCUGAAUCAUUAUGGCCUUCACCAUCAAGACCUUUUACUGUACUUUCCUGUCUGGAUUUCUUCUUCCGUGUUGUUCCUGAAUCCUGCUGCACCAGCUCAAUCUCUAUUCCGCAGAUUACAGUCAGCAUGGGAGCAGGCAUACCCUGACAACUCUCAAAUUAGUCUGCAACUUGGAAGAUGUUAAAGAGGGACUCGAAAGUUAAAUAGAGAGGGUUUACAGGGCAACUUUUUGGCUACAUAAAAAUCACCGAAAAACUCUUCAUCAGUCAAUGCUACUUUUAUCAGAUCUUAAAAGUCUGAAUUCUGGCAGGCUCAGAGAGCUCAGCUUUGCUGCAAAAUGGUGUCCCUCUCUAUGUUCCUCAUAUGAUCGCU
RNAcentral lists this unclassified non-coding RNA (426 nucleotides) under Hevea brasiliensis (rubber tree). Lineage: Eukaryota; Viridiplantae; Streptophyta; Magnoliopsida; Malpighiales; Euphorbiaceae. The record is from RNAcentral.